GUCCGGUUGGUCAAGUGGUCAAGACAUCGUCCUUUCACGGCGAAAUCAUGGGUUCAAUUCCCAUACCGGAUACCA
This 75-nucleotide transfer RNA is filed under the name compost metagenome. RNAcentral's name for it is "tRNA-Glu". It matches the Rfam family "tRNA". From Rfam's summary of the family: Transfer RNA (tRNA) molecules are approximately 80 nucleotides in length. The record is from RNAcentral.